GACGAACGCUGGCGGCGUGCCUAAUACAUGCAAGUUGAGCGCUGAAGGUUGGUACUUGUACCAACUGGAUGAGCAGCGAACGGGUGAGUAACGCGUGGGGAAUCUGCCUUUGAGCGGGGGACAACAUUUGGAAACGAAUGCUAAUACCGCAUAAAAACUUUAAACACAAGUUUUAAGUUUGAAAGAUGCAAUUGCAUCACUCAAAGAUGAUCCCGCGUUGUAUUAGCUAGUUGGUGAGGUAAAGGCUCACCAAGGCGAUGAUACAUAGCCGACCUGAGAGGGUGAUCGGCCACAUUGGGACUGAGACACGGCCCAAACUCCUACGGGAGGCAGCAGUAGGGAAUCUUCGGAAAUGGACGAAAGUCUGACCGAGCAACGCCGCGUGAGUGAAGAAGGUUUUCGGAUCGUAAAACUCUGUUGGUAGAGAAGAAAGUUGGUAAGAGUGGAAAGCUCAUCAAGUGACGGUAACUACACAGAAAGGGACGGCUAACUACGUG
This 497-nucleotide ribosomal RNA is filed under the name uncultured bacterium. RNAcentral's name for it is "partial 16S ribosomal RNA". It matches the Rfam family "Bacterial small subunit ribosomal RNA", at positions 28 to 507 of the family's 1533-position model. The record is from RNAcentral.